This 402-nucleotide ribosomal RNA is filed under the name uncultured prokaryote. Its description in RNAcentral is "bacterial SSU rRNA". It matches the Rfam family "Bacterial small subunit ribosomal RNA", at positions 355 to 774 of the family's 1533-position model. The record is from RNAcentral.
UGGGGAAUAUUGCACAAUGGGCGAAAGCCUGAUGCAGCAACGCCGCGUGAGUGAUGAAGGCCUUCGGGUUGUAAAGCUCUGUCUUUUGGGACGAUAAUGACGGUACCAAAGGAGGAAGCCACGGCUAACUACGUGCCAGCAGCCGCGGUAAUACGUAGGUGGCAAGCGUUGUCCGGAUUUACUGGGCGUAAAGGAUGCGUAGGCGGAUUUUUAAGUCAGAUGUGAAAUACCCGAGCUUAACUUGGGUGCUGCAUUUGAAACUGGAAGUCUAGAGUGCGGGAGAGGAGAGUGGAAUUCCUAGUGUAGCGGUGAAAUGCGUAGAGAUUAGGAAGAACACCAGUGGCGAAGGCGACUCUCUGGACCGUAACUGACGCUGAGGCAUGAAAGCGUGGGUAGCAAACA